RNAcentral lists this long non-coding RNA (883 nucleotides) under Canis lupus familiaris (dog). Its description in RNAcentral is "lncRNA (ENSCAFG00000045885.2, ENSCAFG00805000475.1, ENSCAFG00845000291.1)". Lineage: Eukaryota; Metazoa; Chordata; Mammalia; Carnivora; Canidae. The record is from RNAcentral.
GCGGGCAGCAGCCCGUGGUCAUUGGCAGCACCUCUCUCAGUGCCGGUAUUGCUACACACCACACAGGAGGGAUUGGACAAAUGGAAAGUCACUCCUGAGCUGUCCGGAGGGAGCAAAGUGUGGAAGACAAUGGACCAACUAGGAUGUUAUGACAAUAACUGGGGAUGUUGGUGGCUUGGCUGCAGCAAAAUCAGGCUCAUGACAGCCGAGAGAUAUCCAGGUCAUCCUGAGAUUGUGAGGAGUGACCCCUACGGAAUGUUGGGACACCUCCCUCGUCCAGUGAACCGAGCAGGAUCCUAGCUGGCAUAUCGUAAUUAGUGUGGCUGAAGGCAGUCUGCAGGGAAAAAGAGAGAGGAAUUCAAAUCUUACAUGUGUUUCCUAAGACCCCAACAUGGCACACAGAGAUCCCUUACGGCAUCCCUACCGUGUUACUCUACUGCUCACUGCAUUUCUUCUCUGCCUGACCCUACUGGGACCUACUCUUUGCCCUUUGGGAAGUGUGAGAGGGAUAGCUGGAGGUGCCUUCCCCAAAUGGAAGUCGUUUGUUGGCACUCUCAAACCUGUAAGUGUUGUUUCUGAAUGCCAUCUAUUCCCACCACAGAAUCACCGACUCAGAGCUUACUGCACAAGGAAGAAAGGGUCCAGGGGCCGGGGGUGUUUCACCUGUGCCUGCUGGGCGAGACUGGCCCCAGGCUGCUGGCGUGGACCCGGCCGCUCAGCACCUGGUGGUUCACAUGCUGGGCCCCCAGGUGCCAAGCAUUGCUCAGAGGCACAGGUGUCCUCCUUCCCACUUCUCAAAAGCCGGCUCCCUCCACCUCCCUGUUCCUGUCCCCCUCCUCCUGCAGGGACCUUCUCUGUGAACCUCCUGCCUUGGACGGGGUGA